UCGAGUGACCCUGCGCCGAAAAUGUACCGGGGCUAAACAUAUUACCGAAGCUGUGGAGUACACCUUUAGGUGUAUUGGUAGGAGAGCGUUCUAAGGGCGUUGAAGGCAGAUCGUGAGGACUGCUGGAGCGCUUAGAAGUGAGAAUGCCGGUAUGAGUAGCGAAAGACAGGUGAGAAUCCUGUCCACCGAAUGACUAAGGUU
Molecule: ribosomal RNA, 201 nt
Filed under: Enterococcus faecium
Lineage: Bacteria; Bacillati; Bacillota; Bacilli; Lactobacillales; Enterococcaceae
Description: partial 23S ribosomal RNA
Rfam family: Bacterial large subunit ribosomal RNA
Source: RNAcentral